Long non-coding RNA from Benincasa hispida (wax gourd), 575 nucleotides. RefSeq lists it as uncharacterized. NCBI's taxonomy places the organism in Eukaryota, Viridiplantae, Streptophyta, Magnoliopsida, Cucurbitales, Cucurbitaceae. The record is from RefSeq and is a predicted model, not a curated record.
UGAGUAAAAGAAAAAGAGGUUUUCUUCUUCCCACCACCAAUUUGCCUCCGCUUCACGGCCUUGACACCCGUCGCAUUGCAGGCGCCGGUCACCGUCUGGGUGGGCGCUGUCAUUCCGGUGGGUUUUUGCCGGAAUCUUGAUUUUCUUGCUAGAUUGGAGAUUUAAGAGAUUAUUGGAACGUUGUCCAGUGGUGUUCUGGGCGUUUGGUGCUUUCUUUUGGAGGUUUGAUUUGAAGCUUCGAACCACUAUCCAUAAAAAAUUAAAGGUUGAUUUUGGCAGUUUAGCUAUUGGGUUGUGCUGAAUUUGGGGUCUUCAGGUUCUAAUUCGACACUUUUGUUGGAGAUUGCUCUGCUUGAAUAUUUUAUCAGUGCCUAGUACGGACAAGAACAUAUCGGUGAAUGACAGGAUGAAUCCAUGAUCGUGCCAAUGGGAAUAGCUAGACGCUUCCAUACAUGUUUUUUUUCAUGAUUUUCAUGUUAUAGUUGAUAGCAGUCAAAUAUUUAGAGUUUUUCAUUAUUUUUCUUAUUUCGAACUCACAUUUUUAGGGGACCAAAGAAAGUAUUUUAUGUUCUUUG